UUAUCGCAAUCGAGCGUAAGCGGCUGAGCGGCCGCACUCAAUGUCUCCUCGUCGGUGUGGUGUCUAGGGGCGAGUGCCGGUGAUGCACGUGGUAGGCGGCAGCGCAGCGCUCGAGGCGAACCGGCGCGUGACGCCAUCAGUGUGCACUCGAGACGGCUGUGGGUCACGCAUGCCAGCUGGACGCUCGGUGGACGUGGCGCAACUUGGAGAGGUACCGGAGCACGAGCGAUGGCGUCACAGCGCGCACCGGUCGCAACCGACAGCGGUACCGACGCCUCGCCCCGUUCUAGGUGUCUCGACGCGUACCCCACUCGUAUAGCCGGGGUACAACGAUUUAAGACCGGCCGAUAUCAAACCCAACUCGCCGCCUCUACCGUUUAAAGUUGUGGCGUCCACCGAGUCGUUACUGUACACUUCUUCCUAUACACCCUCGAAAACCUACCACUAACUGUUUCCGUGGUUGUUCCUUCUAGUCUCUCAACGUAAAGGAAUCAUCGUCAAGAUUGACAGAGAAGAUAUGGAACAUCUGGUAUUACUUUAUUAAUCCUGCGAUGCCUUGACCUCAAGAUGGUGAUAUACAUAGAAAUGACAGACGCUGGUUCUACACACAAAAGAGGGCAAACAUAUAAAUAAACAUAGCACACUAGGUGAACGCAUCACUACUGUACGAACGAGAUGAACAAGACAUACCAUAAACACCUUAACCAGAACAACGAGUGGGA
Molecule: ribosomal RNA, 722 nt
Filed under: Triticum aestivum (bread wheat)
Lineage: Eukaryota; Viridiplantae; Streptophyta; Magnoliopsida; Poales; Poaceae
Description: partial small subunit ribosomal RNA
Source: RNAcentral